This 7886-nucleotide long non-coding RNA is filed under the name Homo sapiens (human). RNAcentral's name for it is "HSALNT0019831". Lineage: Eukaryota; Metazoa; Chordata; Mammalia; Primates; Hominidae. The record is from RNAcentral.
UGGCUACUGUAUUGGACAGUGAGAUGUAGAUCAUUUCCAUUGCCACAGAAAGUUCUACUGGACAGUGCUGGUAGGGUAUUAAAGGUCUUUGUAGGGACUUCAGCUUUUACUCUGAGUAAAUAGAAAGCCAUUGGAGGGUUUUAAGCAGAGGAGGAACAUGCUCUGACUUAUGAUUUCGAAAGAUCACUGUUGAGAAUAGACUGUAAGGGGGCAAUGGUGAAAGUUGAUAGACCAUUAAUAGUCUAGAUGAGAGAUGACCAUGUCUUCGAUGAGGGGGUAGGAGUGAUGAUGAUGAUAAAUUAUUGGAUUUUGGAUAUAUUUUGAAGGCAGAACCAAUAGGCUUUUCUGAUGAAAAUGAUGUGAUAUGAGAAAAAAAUGACAAAAAGGUUGUGGGUGAUGAUGAGAGAAGAGAAUACAAGGCCAAAGAGAAGGGAUUUCCCUUGUUGUGGAGGAGUCUCACUCACCUUGAAGCAGGAGGGAAAGCAGGGAUCUGGGUGGAAAAAGAUCUAGAGAAUCCUCAUCUAAGCAGAAGAUGAAGGAGUAAAGAGAGAAAGAUGGGUGUAUUGGAAGCUUGCGGGUGAUGGAGAAAGUUUCAAAUAAUUCUUGGAAAAUAAGUUGAAAAAAGAAACGUAACACAGUUGUUAGAGCAGGGCAUGAUUGCUUGUGCCUAUAGUCCCAGCUACUUGGGAUCCUGAGGCAGGAGGAUCUCUUGAGCCCAGGAGAUGGAGGCUGCGUUGAGCUGUGUUUAUGCCACUGCACUCCAGCCUAAGCGACAGAGCAAGACUCCAUUUCUUAAAAAUAAAACAAAAAUGUAGUUGUUAGUAUUGAGGGCCCAUAAGAAGUUGGUGAUGAUGAACCUAUCUACGCUUUUGAUCACCUCCAGCAGAGUUUGACUGUUGCGUGCAAGCAAAGAGAAAGGAGAUGGCGGGGUUCAAUGAGGGCUGUCGUUUUCCUAGAUAGGUUUGUAGAAAAAACAGAGAGGAAGGGAGUUUAAGGGAUUGGCAAAAAGGAUAUAGUAAUAACAGACCAUGGAAUAAAAAUUGAGUAAGAAGGAAAGUGAAAACAGCUGAAGGCUAAUGAAUUGGGAGAAAGCAGAUGGAUCAAUAGACUGGAGGCCCCAAUAUUUCUAAGAGCAGUUGGAGUUGUUGUCAUGCAAGUUGGAAGGAAAGAUGCUUAUCCAAAAGCUGAAUGCCUGAAUCAGUAAUCUUGCGGCAGAGCUAUUGUAGGUGAUGACAAGGUCAGUCCUUUGAAGUCUAUGCAUAUAUAUCUUCAUUAUAGGCUGACUUGCCAAGUCUUAGAAUUUUUACAAUAUAACCUCACUGUGGAUCUCAUCUAAGCAGGUUUGGUAACCAAAAGCUCAAGAGCGUGAGAUUGAGACCCCAGAGAGCUCAUAGCCUGUCACAAACCAGCUGUGUAACCACGGACCUUGAGGAAAUGAACCUUAUGGUCCCUUCCGUCUCUAAUCUGUGACUCCAUAGCCCCAUUAUAAUAUAGCCUUUUCCCAAACACUGACCUUCAACAUAGACCCUGGGGGAUUUUUCUAUUAAAAAUUUGCAACUCUGCACAUUUUUAUCUGCUGAUGCCUCUUGGAAUAUUAAAUGCUUAGAAAGCUGUCGUCGGGAUCACAUUCUGGAAUCUUGACCAUGUAGUCAUCUGAGUGGGUGUGACAGGAAGUAUACACCAGCAGCAUUUGUGUCUGAGUGUCCUUCAGACACUGGGAUGGCUGCACCUUUACCCGUCCUCUCCAACUCUCUCCACCUAGAAAGUAUUCUUUUCUCUUAAUUUUGUUAGAGUUAUAUAGGAAUGCUCCUUCAGCAGAAAUGACAGAGGCUGUUGCUCUCAGAAUCAAAUGCAAUAAUGUGACCUGUAAAUUCCUGUGAAUAUUUGGAUAUUUUAGCGAUAUUUGUUUAUUCAGAAGAGAUUCUGGAUGCAGAACUCUCCUCCUCUCUGUUCUCUAACCCUGCUUUCCACCAUCAUUCUUCUCUCUCUAGGGCACAGAGAGAAUUAAGAACAACCUAAGGGUCAUUACAAUGAUCUAACUGCCUUACCUGCUUUUGAACUGGUUGAGCCUCUUGUGGGACCGAAAACAAAAGAAGGGUGUUGAAAUGCAAAUAGAUAACUCUGGGUCCCAGUCCCUGACUGCAAAAGGAAGCCAAAACUGACAACAACGUCUCCUUCUCUACGGAGGUUUGUAGAAAGGCUGUACAAAAAUCUCACAAGAUGUAUUUCUUCUCGUGGACUGGAGUCCCAAGGUGCUUAAGAGCUCUUCAAUUUGUUAAUGGAAAGAAACACCAUUUACACCGGAUGGCUACAAAGCAACCUUAUUCUGAUCUUUUCUCAGAAUAGCAGUCUGUAGGCUGUCACCUAAAGUGUCCUGUUUUCAGUGCUGCACCUGCUCUGAGCUUCAUCUUUUUACGAAGACGUCAUGGUGUGCUAUCUGUACUGGGAAACUUUCCCCAGCAUCAGCCAUCUCCUGAAGAUAACAUUGUCUGCUAGAGAUUGUCAUGUAUGUGGAUUGAAUCUCUUUAUCUUCAUGGUCCUCUUUCUGUGCCCCCAGCCCGGUUGACAAUGUGUGCCUUCACUCACCCAAUUAGAAACCUUGGAGGUAUCCUGUACUCUUCUGUCACUUACCCUCAGCCUAAAGCCAAUCAGUCACCAAAGUAUUGUCUGUCAUUAUCAUCAUCAUCAUCAUCAUCACUGUCACCACUGAUGGAGUGAGAACCUUGUGCAGUUGAGCAUGAACCCCAAUUUCAUUUGCAAAAUGACCCAGACAGCAGAUUUCAUCUCAUAUGAAAUAAGCAAGGUGAGGUUUUGAUGACGUUACAGACAUGGCUAAGAAGAGGUUGAGAACCAGCAUUCAGCCCACCUGACUCCAAAGCUCAUGCCCCGAACCUCAGAAACUUCUCCAGUGAGUUCCUUUUUUUUAAUGGCAGGAUCACACCAUUAGUUUGGACUGGAUCCAACCUGGAUUGUUGCAACAGCCUUUGAUCUGAUCUGUCAAGCCCUGUGCCUUCUGUGCAACCCAUUCUCUACCCUGGCACGAGCAUUACUAAAAUACCAAUCUGGUCCUAUGACUCCUCUGCAUAAAAACCACGGCUGGGGCUGGUCAAGUGCAACAGUGUUUACAACUAAUUGAUCACAACCAGUUACAGAUAUCUUUGUUCCUUCUUUAGCCAAAAACAAACAGAAAAACAAACAAAACCCAAAUAACAAAAACAAACACAAAAAACCCCCCAUUGUUUGUUCCCUUUUGCAUCUUUUGAAUUCUAAACUCCUCACAUAGCAUAAAAUCCCCUUCUGGGUCUUUUCCCAGCCUACAACCCACUUCCCCACCUGCCCCAUUCCCCCUGUUGCUCCUACCUCUGGCCUUACUUCAGCCCCAGGGUCCCCUGCUGGACAUGGCAGGCCCAGCACAUGCUGCCCUGGGCCCUUUCACUUUGCUUUGUGACAUAUUUUUCAUCCUUCAACCUUCAGCUCAUAAGCCAUAUUCUCUGUGAAGGCAUCCAGAGGGCCCGAGACAGCCCCUCCCACCUGUGUUCCUCAGAGCAUUCUGUGCCCAUAAUUAGGGUGAACACAUUUCUGAAUCAGCAGUGGAAAUGUUUCAGUUCAGACAGUUACGCAUGUGCCCCUGAAGGCAAUGGGACAGUUAAUAGAGCAAAGUCCAGAAGAAACUCUUGGAGAUGAUUCCUCUUUAUCUGUCUGCUACCCUGUAGAGGGGUGGGGAAGGUACUUCCAGGGUAGAGAGCUGUGGGUGGCCCUUGUAUCUCUUGGAGAUGAUUCCUCUUUGUCUGUCUGCUACCCUGUAGAGGGGUGGGGAAGGUACUUCCAGGGUAGAGAGCUGUGGGUGGUCCUUGUAUUUGCCCACACCUGACACGAUGCCUAACUGUUGUUUGCUGAAUGUAUGAAGACUAUGCCAGGCCUGAGAUUCUUUUGAACAUAACCAAAUGUCAUGUGUAAAUUUCUCCAAAUAACCAACCAACAAACCCAGCUCUUUAUAACAAUGGACAAUCCAGCAUGAGUAUUAGGACUCUGUUUAAGUCUCAGGUUUAUCACUAGAACAAUUCUCAUAGACACACUUCUUCAUCUGUAAAAUGGGGAUAAUAGUAGCUACUUACGGGAGUUGCAGUGAAGACUCUGUGAAUGAAUUGAAGGAAAUUAGCAGGCACAGAGUCUGGCAAAGAAGUCUUUGUUUCAGGCACAAAGAUAUGUGUAGCUCAUCACUAUAAACAGGAACUAGAAGGCAAGGUCAUGUUCUAGAAUAACUUUUAAAAGUUAGGAUAUUGUUGGGAAUUUUAAAAGGUAAGACAAUUAAAAAUAUGACUAAUAUUUGUCAGCUUUUUUUUUUUUUUUUUUUGAUACAGAGUCUUGCUCUUUUACCCAGGCUGGAGUGAAGUGGCGCCAUCUCAGCUCAUUACAGCCUCUGCCUCCCGGGUUUAAGCGAUUCUCCCUCCUCAGCCUUCUUGAGUAGCUGGGAUUACAGGCACCCGCCAUCAUGCCCGGCUAAUUUUUGUAUUUUUAGUAGAGACUGGGGUUCACCGUGUUGUUCAGGCUGGUCUUGAACUCCUGACCUCAAGUGAUCCACCCACCUCGACCUCCCAAAGUGCUGGGAUUACAGGCUUGAGCCACUGCGCCUGGCCUCAUUUGUUAGCUUUAACAUAUGAAGAGACAUCCUCCUAAAUGUUAAAGUACUCUUUGACAUUUUACCUAUGCAUUUUACAGUUGGGCUGGGAGAGAUGUGACUCCCGGUUUGUUUUGCCUCACCUUUGCAUUUCAUCAGCUGUGUCUGAUCCCAGCCUAGCCUGUGUGUCGGAAUCACUUGGAUGAGUGUUUUACAGACUCCUGGGCUCUACCCCAAACCCACUGAAUCAGAAUGGGGACAGGAAGGGAACUGUAAAUCUACAUUUAUGAAAACCUCCCCUUGUGGUUUUGAUAGUCUGCAAGGUUUGGGAAUCACUAGUUCCCAAACACACCAGUAGAAAAGCAUAUAGUAAUUAACAUUCUCAAUUUCUCAGCUUUACAGUGUUUGUAAUUAAAAAUUUUUAUUUGCUUUUUUGUAAGCAAUAUUAGCUUUCUCAAUGUCUGUUUCACCUUCACUGCAGUCUGUUUAUCCAGCCUGGGAAAAAAACUGGCUCCACUUAAACAAUGAGACAAAAAAGGUGCAAACCUGACAGCUUCCCUACCUUUUUUGCAUUAGCGUGUAGGUAUUUCCUCCAUGUCCUACCAGGGCCAUUUAAAUGCUAAUAUAGUUAAGUACAACAAUCUUUUUAGCAAUCAGAUGGAAUUGUUUUUUACCACAAUCUUAUUUCUCAUUUCUCCAGUCCGUACUUUUCCUUUUUUGGGGCAGGGUGGGGGUAGGGCUAGAGGGGCAUACAUUUAAAUUCUUUGACCUUUCAAACCUUAACAAAAAUUCUCUCCUAAUAUCUUCUCAGCAGUUCUUGCAAUGUGUGUAUCCUCUAAACCUGAGCUCUGUAAUUUGAAUGUGCUGAGUCACCUUGUCUUUGCAGGGUCAAACAUUUUGCAUCCAGGAAAAGUACUGCAGAAAAUCACACCAUUAGCAGCUAGCUGGUAUGUUAUUUGAAUAUUUGAAUACAAAUAGGAAGACUGGAAAGGAGAAAGUUACUGUGUACAUAGAUACAUAGUAACUUACAUAUACUUAAAACAACCUUUUUUUUUUUUCUAAUAGUCUGCUAAGUCCUCUUUCUGAUUGAUGACUUUUUUGUGUGUGAAAUUCUCUAAAUAUUUAUUUGUGUUCCUAGAAAGUGAAAAUGAAUAUAAAUGGUAAAGCAGUUGCCUUGCAAUGUUUAAUAAAAGGAGAAAAUAGUCUUUGCUAUUAUACUGAAGCUUUGCAUAAUUAAGAUUCUUGAAUUAAUUUUAAAGAAUUAAUAACAAAAAAAUACAAUCAUGAACCAGAUAUUGAGAGUUAAUGUCUAAUUUAAGUUCAACUUUUAGGGAGUCCGUUUUCCUAUUUUGAUCAUGUAGUUGAAUAGACAGUGAGGAGAUGUUACUACAACUGUAUUAAUAGAGGAAGUGGCAGGAAGCUACAGUUUCCUUAGAAUCAGAAAGAAAGUUUAUAGAACUCACUGGAAAUGAGGGUUAUAGAUAAAGAUUGAAGUAGGAAUAACUUCUAUUUAGAAUUGCUAUUGUAUUUUUGUAACAUAAGAGUGGUUUUCUUUAAAGUAAGUAUUUGGGGCUAAAGAGAAUGCCAACACUCCACUCACAGGGAAGUCGGAAAGCUUACCAGUAUUAACAAACAUCCGAAGUCAUUUCACAAGGUGGAAGUUUACUAUAGAACCAGUAAACAUAAUCUUCCUCCAGGGUGUUUUGAGUCAUGAAUGGGGAGCAACUUGCUCCCUUCGUGGAUGGAGCACUGGGGACAAGCUUCUCUGCAUCAGAGCCUGUGAAAUAUCAAUAGCAACAGCUACUGUACUCUGAGUGCUCACUUCCUCUAUGCCAGAGGCUGGCUCUGGUCUUUAAUUGAAUUCGCUCACUAUACAGCCCCCUAUACAGAAGGAACGCUAAUUUUCAAUACCUUAAAGAGGCCAAAUCAUUCCCACAGCAUUAGUGGCAGAGGGGGUAUUUGAACCCAGGCAGAAUGACUCGAACUCCCUGGUAAUUAGCCAUGGUGGAGAAUGUCUCCCAGCUCACAAAAAUGACUACUCACUGGCAAGUAACACUAAGUACAGAAAGAAUGUCAUCAGUUGGUUGGUGUUCUUGCUUUCUCUCCGUGAACAAUUAAGAGGGCGCAGAGGUGAGAUGGGGUGGGGUGGGAUAAAGGGAAGGCCUGGAAGAAGGGACAGAAGGGCUGCAAAUAAUCACCCGGGAGCCCAGUGAGACUCAGAGAAAGAUUCUAACCUAAAAUACUCUUCUGCUGUCAGCUAUUCUGUAAUUAACAUCCACAGAUGAAAACAUGAAGUGUAUUAAAAAUCCUUUGUGUUUUUUUUCAAUUUUGACUGAUGGACAUAAUAUAAUGACUUGAUAAUUAAAAAAAAAGAAAGAAAGAAAACCCACAAAACCCAACAACCCAAAAUUCUAAACUAACUGCUUUUCAUCAUUCUACUCCCUGAUUAGACAUGGAAUUGGGCUCGUUACUACGGGUAGAACAAUGGCCUGUGUUGGGCAGGACAAGGGCAUGGAAGCUCUCCAGCAAGCAGCACAGUGGGACAGCACAGGCUUCUAGCAGGCAUGGUUUCAGUCUCAAUUGUUUACAAGCCUUGGGAUCUGGAACAAUUGAUUUGAGCCCUACAACAUUAGAAUGGUUCCUUUUCUCAGGGCCUAAUAUGGGGUCAGAGAAGGCACUCAGCAAGGAGGGUUUUUUCAGAGGCCCAGGAAGAACUAGUUCAGAGGCCGAGCCUCCUGGGAGAACACGUAGAUGAGUGGGGUCAGGUGCCUGUGUCUGAGAUCUAGCUCAGGUCAGGGCAGUUUUCAUUGAGAAGGUGACAUUUGAACAAAGAUUUGAAGUUGCUGAGUGAGUUAGCCAUGUGGGAAUCUCAAUAGAAGAGAUUUCCAAGCAGAGGAAACAACUAAGGAGAAACAGGAAAUUGCCUUCUGGCAAGAUGUAGGAACAGCAAGGAAGUAAGUGUGGCUGAAACAGAGUGAGUGAGGGGUAAAGUAGUUGAAAGUGAGGUCGGGGAGUAAGAGAGUCAGACUGGCCAGCAUCAUUUUAAGGACUCUGAGUUUUAACUAUGAGAGGAACAUGGAGCCAUUGCAAAGUUCUGAGCAGAGGAGGACAUGUGACUGAGAGUUUAAAAAGAUGGCUCUAAGCCAGGUGCAAUGGCUCAUGCCUGUAAUCCCAGCACUCUGGGAGGCCGAGGCAGGAGGAUCACUUGAGGCCAGGAGUUUGAGACCAGCCUGGACAACAUAGCCUGACCUCAUCUCCACUAAAAAAG